Molecule: ribosomal RNA, 393 nt
Filed under: Nasutitermes ephratae
Lineage: Eukaryota; Metazoa; Arthropoda; Insecta; Blattodea; Termitidae
Description: partial 16S ribosomal RNA
Source: RNAcentral
CAUCUUUUCUUGUUAGUUUUUGAAGUAUGGCCUGCCCACUGACUUAGAGUUGAAGGGCCGCGGUAUUUUGACCGUGCAAAGGUAGCAUAAUCAUUAGUUCUUUAAUUGUGAUCUGGUAUGAAUGGCUUGACGAGACAUAAGCUGUCUUAGGGGUAUUGGUUUAUUGAAUUUGGUUUUUGAGUUAAAAUUCUUAAAUGUUUUUAUGGGACGAGAAGACCCUAUAGAGUUUGACAAUUUUCCUAUUUAUUCGUUGUUUGUUUUAUUUACAUUGAGUGGGAGUGAAUUGUUUUGUUGGGGUGAUGGGAGGAAUAUUGUUUAACUCCUCUUUAUUUUUAUAUAUUUAUGUAUAUAUUUUUGAUCCAUUUAUUUUGAUUAUAAGAUUAAAUUACCUUA